This is a long non-coding RNA of Bufo gargarizans (Asiatic toad), 366 nucleotides long. RefSeq lists it as uncharacterized. The transcript has 3 exons. The record is from RefSeq and is a predicted model, not a curated record. Lineage: Eukaryota; Metazoa; Chordata; Amphibia; Anura; Bufonidae.
CACUGACGACCCUGGACGGUAUAUGGCUCUUAAAGGUGUUGUGAUUUCUCCAUGUGGUAUCUGUGGAGGUUUGCCACAUUGUGGAUUUACUGAAAGAAAUUGAAUACAUGAAAUUAACCACAUUUCAGGGAAAAAUUCAUUAGCGUUUACAAAGGAAGAUCCAAAAAUGAGUGGCUUUGGUGUAAGUCACCACGUGAUCAUGCUGGGAGCGCACGGUGACAUCAUCACGCUCAGCGCAGGUCUUUUGGCAGGUCUUUUUCCACUCAAGAGAGCAGCGGACUGCCUCUGCGCGAGCAAGUGGAUUAGAAAUGUGGAUACAGGUGAUCAUGAACAAACCCUGUCUCAUCCAAGAACAAUGAAUUGAGA